Molecule: long non-coding RNA, 601 nt
Organism: Eptesicus fuscus (big brown bat)
Lineage: Eukaryota; Metazoa; Chordata; Mammalia; Chiroptera; Vespertilionidae
Exons: 3
Source: RefSeq, a predicted model, not a curated record
CACUCAGGCUCCGCCUGGCACGAGGGGGACCCCCAGCCCUGCGGCAGCCUCCCCUCUGUGACCCCACGCAGAACCCUCCUCCUUCCUCAGCCCCAGGGUCCCUACCUCCUGAGAAUGGGUGGGAAAGAGGGGAGACUGGGCCUGGCUGCUCUGGGUGCCAGCCCAUUGGUCCUGAGGGCUGCCUGAGGGUCCAGGAGCGCUGCCCACAUUUCCAGGAGCCCAGUGGGCCGGCGCUGCCAGAGCCAGAUCACACAGGCCAGCAAACACCCAAAACCUCUUCCAGCCAGACCAGGUCAGUGCGGGCAGCCAUGCAUCGGCCGCUGCAGACCAGACCUCCGCCAGGGCUCAGCCCCCCUCUGGCCACUCAGCCCCAGCAGGACAACGUGCUGGGAGUGUCUCAUGAACACCGAGCAGUGAAUUGGGCAUCGCUCCGCCACGCUGGCUGCCUGACUACCUGUGCCACGUGGCUCCUGAAAAUUAUAAAGAAGAGAGGAAAGAACACCCGAGAGCACACCACCAGGCUUUACCAGCGUGAAUAUCGGACCACGUUUGCUUCAGAUGUCUUAAGUCGUUCUUAAAACAUGAGCCACUGUGAGCCACA